This 56-nucleotide non-coding RNA is filed under the name Anabaena cylindrica PCC 7122. RNAcentral describes it as "Cyanobacteria heterocyst sRNA". It matches the Rfam family "Cyanobacteria heterocyst sRNA". The record is from Rfam by way of RNAcentral. Lineage: Bacteria; Bacillati; Cyanobacteriota; Cyanophyceae; Nostocales; Nostocaceae.
GGGAUGUUGUUAUGCACUGGAUUUAUAGCAAGGUUUGGCUAAUCACCAAACCUUUU